CUCCACCAAGGGACCACAUUGAAGAGAUCACCACAGGCUCUGAUGGCACAUCAGACUCCAGCUCUCCAACAGCAUGUGCACUGCUGAAUGCCUGUAACCACACAGAAGUGACAAGCAACCCUCAUUUCUAAGGAAUGGAAGGCUCUGUUUUGAAGAUUUCCCUAGAUUGAUGUACUGCAAGAUGUUAAGGAAAACAGCUGUGCAACACACAUGUCCUGCAAAAAUCCAGGAGCAGUGUAGCUUGCUGAUGGCAGCUUGCAUAGGAACAGGAGGAAGGACAGAAGGCAGAUGCUCACUCUGCUGAAAUCAGACUGAUUUGACCUUUCCAAAAUUAGUGAAUUUCUUUCACUCAUUCAGAAGAAAGACUUGAUACUGCAGCAGACCUUCUGUCCUCUUAAAGUCUAGUGUGUGUCAUUUUAUUACAUAGUUUUGGGGUUUUUUACUGGAGCUGGAAGAUACAGAAUGUUUUCUAGCUUAGCUCUUUCCAAGUAGAGCUGGUAGGCGUACCGUUAAUAAGGAGCAAUGGAGUUGCUGAAGGAGUAUUGGGCUUUGUUGUUUAUUUUUGCAAUUGGUUUUGCCUCACACUAUUAUAAAAAAAAAUUAGGACACUCAAACAUGUUCCAUUAGUUAAGGUUCUAGCCAUGAAAUUUUUUGCAAAACUUAAAAUGACAUUUUAAAUUUGAAUGCCAUGUCAGUGUCUGGUAACAUGAAUGUUUGCUUCAGGUACUCAAACAUGUCACUGUCUCGUUUUUCAGCUGGACCCCCUGAAUGGCAGGCAAUGACAGUGCAGUAACAAUUUAAGGUACUGGUUUAUCUGGAGCUGAGCCACAUACAGUCUUACACUGCAGGUCUUAACCAUUACUUCCCUUUUAACCAUCAGUCAUGUGAUCCUAAGCACUUGCACCAAAUGCACCCAGAUGUUGGCACCUCUGUGUUCAAGGUACAGCACCAAGCACUUGAUCAGCAGCUCGGUCUCUAAGUACUUGUAAAACACUGCCUAAAGGUACUUAAAUUCCAUGUCACAUUAUUUUCAAUAAAUUUAUUUCAAUGAAGGUUGAAAUCCUAUGA
RNAcentral lists this long non-coding RNA (1068 nucleotides) under Chloebia gouldiae (Gouldian finch). Its description in RNAcentral is "Erythrura gouldiae (Gouldian finch) lncRNA (ENSEGOG00005009783.1)". The record is from RNAcentral. Lineage: Eukaryota; Metazoa; Chordata; Aves; Passeriformes; Passeridae.